AGCCAUAAGCAGGGACACUUCCCAGCAAACCAGCUCUCCUGGGGUGUUUUGUGGUGUAAAUUUUGCAUUGUUUAAUGAAGUUAUCACUUUCUGCAAAGCCAGUGGCUCCUGUAAGCUGCUGGCUCUGCUUCUUCCCUCAGUUCUUACUGGGAGCCUGGGAGGUCGGGAAGGUUCUCUGGACAGUGGAGCUGAGAGUGUUCCCCAGGAGGAUGCCGACAAAGAGCCAACCCAGCUAACACAGUGUCUGAGUUACAGUCAGCACACAUGGAAAGUUGCCCCGGUCAUUUAUUUUGAGCAAGUUCAGCAACUUGGCCCAUCUUUCUGAAUAGUUUG
Corapipo altera (White-ruffed manakin) is the source of this 333-nucleotide long non-coding RNA. RefSeq lists it as uncharacterized. The transcript has 3 exons. The record is from RefSeq and is a predicted model, not a curated record. Lineage: Eukaryota; Metazoa; Chordata; Aves; Passeriformes; Pipridae.